Molecule: ribosomal RNA, 407 nt
Filed under: uncultured bacterium
Lineage: Bacteria
Description: partial 16S ribosomal RNA
Rfam family: Bacterial small subunit ribosomal RNA
Source: RNAcentral
AUUGAACGCUGGCGGCAGGCCUAACACAUGCAAGUCGAGCGGAGCGGCGGACGGGCGAGUAAUGCCUAGGAAUCUGCCUGGUAGUGGGGGAUAACGACCUGAAACGGGUGCUAAUACCGCAUACUAUCAGAUGAGCCUAGGUCGGAUUAGCGAGUUGGUGGGGUAAAGGCCUACCAAGGUGACGAUCCGUACCUGGUCUGAGAGGAUGACCAGUCACACUGGAACUGAGACACGGUCCAGACUCCUACGGUAGGCAGCAGUGGGGAAUAUUGGACACUGGGCGCAAGCCUGAUCCAGACAUGCCGCGUGUGUGAAGAAGGUCUUCGGAUGGUAAAGCACUUUAAGUUGGUAGGCGUUACCAACAGAAUAAGCACCGGCUAACUUCGUGCCAGCCGCCGCGGUAAUAC